Molecule: ribosomal RNA, 252 nt
Filed under: uncultured bacterium
Lineage: Bacteria
Description: partial 16S ribosomal RNA
Rfam family: Bacterial small subunit ribosomal RNA
Source: RNAcentral
UACAGAGGGGGCAAGCGUUAUUCGGAAUUAUUGGGCGUAAAGCGUGCGCAGGCGGUUUUGUAAGCCAGAUGUGAAAUCCCCGGGCUUAACCUGGGAAUGGCAUUUGGGACUGCAAGGCUCGAGUGCGGCAGAGGAGACUGGAAUUCCUGGUGUAGCAGUGAAAUGCGUAGAUAUCAGGAGGAACACCGAUGGCGAAGGCAGGUCUCUGGGCUGACACUGACGCUCAUGCACGAAAGCGUGGGAGCAAACAGG